Molecule: ribosomal RNA, 146 nt
Filed under: Staphylococcus pseudintermedius
Lineage: Bacteria; Bacillati; Bacillota; Bacilli; Caryophanales; Staphylococcaceae
Description: partial 23S ribosomal RNA
Rfam family: Bacterial large subunit ribosomal RNA
Source: RNAcentral
AGAUUAAGUUAUUAAGGGCGCACGGUGGAUGCCUUGGCACUAGAAGCCGAUGAAGGACGUUACUAACGACGAUAUGCUUUGGGGAGCUGUAAGUAAGCUUUGAUCCAGAGAUUUCCGAAUGGGGAAACCCAGCACGAGUUAUGUCG